Long non-coding RNA from Biomphalaria glabrata, 1411 nucleotides. RefSeq lists it as uncharacterized. The transcript is spliced from 4 exons. The record is from RefSeq and is a predicted model, not a curated record. Lineage: Eukaryota; Metazoa; Mollusca; Gastropoda; Planorbidae.
AACACCUAGUUAUUUUGCGUUUUUAGUCUGGGUUACUGGUUUAUCACGAAUAAGAUAAGUGGUAUUUAUUUGUUUUAUUUUUCUUUUGUUACUCAAAAAAAAAUAACUAACAUUUUUCUGUGUGGAAAAACAUGCUCCAAUGUGAUUCAAUUUCUAUAAUUCAUCUAAUUCUCUUUGUAAAAUUUCUGUAUCUUGUGUUGUUUUUAUUGUUCUAAAUAUUAGGCAAUCAUCUGCAAAUAAUCUGACUUUUGUUCCUCAACUAAUGCAAUUUGGUAAAUCAUUUAUGUAAAUUAAUUGGCCAGAUCGGCUGUCAAAACUGUAACAGCAAACUUACUUUGGGUCUUGAAAAAAAGGACUGGCUCUGUUUAUGUGCUCAAAGUGUCAUGUCUUUUUUGUGACUCUUCAUGCCACUGCUGCUUCCUCAAAGACACUUCAAGAGUUUAAACAUUACAAAAUAAACGAUCUUUUUUGAACAUAGGUUUAGAAUAUGCUGGCAUGGAGUCAUUUGGUGAAGCCAUGGGAAUGGAUUCCAUGAGAAGCAAGACCUACAAUACUCAUUUAAAAUACAUAGGAAAUAAAAAUGACACAUUUAAAGAUGACAUACAACUGAAAUCUGUUGCGAAAGUAAGGGAAUUUUAUGGCGCCAAAAGCUAGGAGGAUACUGUUGAACUUACUGUAAGCUUUGAUGGUUCUUGGCAAAAAGAGGACAUACAUCAAAACAUGACCAUGAAGUUGUCAUUGAGACCACCACUGGAUUGGCUAUUGACUUUCAUGUGAUGUCAACAUAUUGUCAGAAAUGUUCAACAACUGGAAAGAGGGCAGGCUGCAUAUAAUGAUGGUUUUGAAAACAUCAAAAAGAAUGUGUCAUCAACCAUUCUGGCUCUGCUGGUCUCAUGGAGGUUAAUGCGGCUAAGGUCAUGUGGUGAAGUUUGGCCUACGCUACACUACAUUUGUUAGUGAUGCAGACUGCACAACCCACAAGGAACUACAGUUACUGUCACCUUACAAUGUUGCUUUAAACAACGAAGAGUGCGCUAAUCAUGUGGCUAAGAGGCUUGGUACUACUUUUAGGAAUCUAGUUUCAACAGAAUCCAAAUUGGGCAGGACACAUGAUGGUCGUAAAACUGGAAGCUUAACAAAGAUGGCUGUUCAACAACUGAGGAAUGGAGAAGGAAGAUAAUGACAACACCACAUCAUGCCUCUUCAACAGAUGAAAGUCCUCAACAUGAUGGAUAUCCUGCUGGAAAGGCUUCUUGAUAAUGGUGCUGGUGGGAAGCGUGGUCGAGAGGCUCAGUAUGCUUGGCUUGGCUACCUAUGAAGGGGGCUCGAGGUUCGACACCCGACUCGCGCAGAGUUGUGUUUACUAGUGCACGGAAAAACCUUCUCCUAGAUACCCCCUCCCCCCCACUGG